Long non-coding RNA from Cotesia glomerata, 511 nucleotides. RefSeq lists it as uncharacterized. The transcript is spliced from 4 exons. NCBI's taxonomy places the organism in Eukaryota, Metazoa, Arthropoda, Insecta, Hymenoptera, Braconidae. The record is from RefSeq and is a predicted model, not a curated record.
ACGGAGUGAUCGUUACUUGGUAAAUUCCCCUAUUUCGGUACCCAGUUAUUUAUCGACUGCUCACAGUGCGCUGUGAUCUAAAGCUCGUUUAGAGCUAGUAAGAAAGGCCCCAAGGUGGAGAAGCCGGCGUAGUGGUAGUGGGGAGAGCAGAGGGAGCAAUAAGUGUAGAACUAAAUUUAGUAAGAAUCAUUGUGACUGAGUAGCUCGAAUGGACGAGACGCAAAUUUUUCCAAAACAUCCAGCUAAGGCGUAAUAGAUACCCAGAGAGCGAGUGUUGGUGACUAGAGUUUGCCGCCAAAUUGAGAAUACCUCACCGAGGGAAAAUUCACGCCAGUACCCGAAGACUAGGAGUUGCAGCUCACCGUUGGAGUGCAGAUUAAAAUUAUAAGAACUCCAGGUACAAAUAACGAGUCUUAAUUAUUCCUCGGGGCAGCGGCAUCAGCCAGGCAACACGUCGGCUGAAGGUCACCGCCAUUUCGUGCUCAGUCACAAUCAUUUAAUAAUUUAGAUA